CUCUUUAAUUUUCUAUCCACUUAGUAUUAUAAUAAACAUUUGAAAUUAUCUCUAUCGCCAUGUAAAUUCAAAUUUAAAAUUUAAUAAUCUUUACAUCUAUAUCUAUAUCAUAUGCAUCAUUCUAUGCAAUAAAGGAAUUGUCUUCUUCGAAAUCUCAUGUCUCUUCAUCAGCGAGGCAAACAGAAAUUCAGCUCCAGGAUCAAGCUCUGUUUUAGAUCGAUUGUUCAAGCUUUACUUUGAUAUUUGUACUGUUUAUAGACCCAAAUAAACCAGAAGAUAUGCACGGGAGAAAAAUCAGGUGAAUUGGGAUCAACAUUCCACAUAAUCUCUGAUUUGAUUUUUAUUUACAUGAAAUUUCAGGCUUUUAUGUAAUCCAAAAAAAUUUGCCUAAAAGAAUGCUUUUCCUCUUUAUCCUUGUGAUUUUUUUCCUCAAUAAAGUUGCUUGCAAAUCAGACUGGUCAACGAAUAUCAACAUAUACAUGAUUUAGAUUAAAGUGCUUAAUUAUUGUUUAAUGAAAAUGAAAAUAUAAUCAUGCAUGAUGGAGUUAGUUGAGAAUUAAAAUUUAUGUUUAUCGUUAUGACCAAGCAACCAAGACUUGAUAAGAACUAAAAUUAGUAAUCUUACUUAUUCGUUAAUAGAACGAAAUGAGACGGAAUAGUAGUUUCUAUAGAGGUGACACUUUGCACAAUUGUGGUGUUUAACAUAAAAUUGUAUGUAUAAUAAUAGUUAUAUAUUUAAAGUGAUAUAUAUUCACAUUUCAAAUAUGUGUUCUUUAAUUAAUUCUUAGAAUACUA
This is a long non-coding RNA of Tripterygium wilfordii, 795 nucleotides long. RefSeq lists it as uncharacterized. The record is from RefSeq and is a predicted model, not a curated record. NCBI's taxonomy places the organism in Eukaryota, Viridiplantae, Streptophyta, Magnoliopsida, Celastrales, Celastraceae. The transcript is spliced from 3 exons.